Molecule: ribosomal RNA, 523 nt
Filed under: uncultured eubacterium WR8112
Lineage: Bacteria
Description: bacterial SSU rRNA
Rfam family: Bacterial small subunit ribosomal RNA
Source: RNAcentral
GAGUUUGAUCAUGGCUCAGAUUGAACGCUGGAGGCAUGCCUUACACAUGCAAGUCGAACGGCAGCACGGGGGCAACCCUGGUGGCGAGUGGCGAACGGGUGAGUAAUACAUCGGAACGUGUCCUGUAGUGGGGGAUAGCCCGGCGAAAGCCGGAUUAAUACCGCAUACGCUCUACGGAGGAAAGGGGGGGAUCGCAAGACCUCCUGCCACAGGGGCGGCCGAUGGCAGAUUAGCUAGUUGGUGGGGUAAAGGCCUACCAAGGCGACGAUCUGUAGCUGGUCUGAGAGGACGACCAGCCACACUGGGACUGAGACACGGCCCAGACUCCUACGGGAGGCAGCAGUGGGGAAUUUUGGACAAUGGGCGCAAGCCUGAUCCAGCAAUGCCGCGUGUGUGAAGAAGGCCUUCGGGUUGUAAAGCACUUUUGUCCGGAAAGAAAACCUUCGCCCUAAUAUGGUGGGGGGAUGACGGUACCGGAAGAAUAAGCACCGGCUAACUACGUGCCAGCAGCCGCGGUAAUACG